RNAcentral lists this long non-coding RNA (2575 nucleotides) under Nicotiana tabacum (common tobacco). RNAcentral's name for it is "long non-coding RNA (NTAB_LNC018088)". Lineage: Eukaryota; Viridiplantae; Streptophyta; Magnoliopsida; Solanales; Solanaceae. The record is from RNAcentral.
UUAUAAAUUCACUUUUCUAAACAGAUUAAGUCUCAAAGCUUUCAAUUUUUAAAAUAUUAAAGAAAUACGUGGAAUAAGUACAAAAAUACAUCAACACAACCCGAAUCUGGUGUCACUAGUAAUGAGCCACUAAAUACACUCUACACUGUCUACUCAUUACAAACAAUUCUGAAAUGUAAAAUACUAGAAUACGAAGGAGAAAGGCAGGGCUGUGAACGCUGUGCAACUACCUUGCGAUCUCCGGAUAAGACUUUGAGAAUGCUUGAAGCUUUCACUCUGAUGCUCGGGCACCUGGAUCUGCACACAAGGUGCAGAGAGUAAUGUGAGUACGCCAACUCAGUAAGUAACUAAAGUCUGAGUGCAAUGACAAGCAUUUAAAAUCAUAUGCAUACUUAUUAAAAAAAAUUCAACAGAAAUAUCAAGUUAAAAUCAGCAAUUCAAUAGCCAAUUUAUCUCGUAAAAAAAACUCCAGUUUCAAUUAAAAUCCUUUAAAAACAUUUAUUCAACCUUUUUCAAUAGAGGCUCAGUAUAAAAGAGGAAUGAAAGAAGAAAAACGUUGUCACACCUCCUUUUUACCUAUACUCCCGUAAAGGGUAUAAGGGAGUUUUUUUCCAACUUAAAGUGACAAUCGAAAUGGGAUUAUUUUAUUUAAAGAUUUAGAGUCGCCACUUGGGAUAAUUUAGGGUGUCCCAUGUCACCAGUUUUAAAUCCCGCAUCGAGGAAAGGUUGACUCUGUAUUACAGUCCGCUAACACAAAAAUCCAGGUAAGGAAUUUUGUUAACUCGGGAGAAGGUGUUAGGCAUUCCCGAGUUCCGUAGUUCUAGCACGGUCGCUCAACUGUUACAAUUGGCCUACUAUCUGAUUUUAGUACAUGUUUUAGCCUAUGGUUCGAUUUUAACUUUAUAGCCGCUUUUAUUCAUUUUUAGGAAGAUUGCAACGUCAUUUAAAAUAUUUCUUGAACCACGUCACAUAAAUGCACCUGUAGUCCGCAACACAUUUUAUAUAGCGUUGUUGAGAUUUGGAUUUGGGUCACAUAAAUGUGCACCCGAGUUUAGGAAGGUAAAUUAUUAAAACAAAGCGCCUAAAGCAACUACACAUUUGCAACUUUGCGAGGGCCAUGAAAAUUCGCUAAAUGGCAUGCCUCGAAUUCUAAUAAUUGAAAUUAAUUAAGCUAGGGACACUGGUUAUCUAAUUUUAUUUGGUGGCACGCCUCAAACCAACUACAAGUAUACCUUAAUAAAAUAAGGCUAAACGAAUCACAUUUACUUUUAAACCACGGUUGAACUCAAAUGUGAGUCUAAAAUUAAGACUAAGUGAAGUUUAUUCUAUUUCAAUUUCAGAAUUUGCGCUUGGCCUAACGUGAGGCCCAAUGGCUCAAUAAAAUCAUCAGGAUGCAGAGUUCUGGGCUCUCCAACAAAUUCCAUCUGGGCCCAAACGGAGAGAAAAGUUUUCACGAGGCAUGUACGAGUUGGGUAUCAAAAGGGGUCAUGUUUCGAACCCAUAUAAUAGCAGAAAACAAUCAGAAGUCCACAAUGAAAUUAAACUAACAAUUAUUAUACAUUGAAAUACUGAUUGGAACCAAGCUGGCAAUUAUUCCAAGCCAUUUUUAAGUUUAAACAUUUCACAUGAUAAUCAUUGAAAUACUGUAAAUAGAUAAUCACUGAAACACUAACUAAACAAUCAUUGCUCAUUUUAAAUAUUCGCACUUAAACUGAUUGACUGAUCAUCCCAAAGUCCACGUGACUUCAUUGUUAUUUCACCCAAAACCUCGGCUCAUUUGAAGAACCAACUAAAUGCAGUAAACAAGUCACUACAUGAAUUCAGGAUCCUUUACCAACAGUUCCAAAAACUUCAUGCAAGCAACCUAUUGAGAGAAUACAUGACUAGCAUAAGAUGACUCAAACCCCCCUAGCAUGCUCAACACUAACUAAGCCAACUAAUAUACUCAAAGAAAUAUAAAUGGCAUAUGUAAUUGCAAACCAAAUCACUUAUUCGUCCAUCUGAACCUUUUUUUUAAAAAAACUAACGCACCUAAUUAGUUUCACAUAAGAGUAGAAUCUCAAACCAUCUAACACCAACACCAUAAUGUACAGUUUUUGUCCAGAUUUACCAACUAAACUCAAACAAAAUCAUAGCCAAAUAUAUGAACAUAUCUGAAGAAGCUAAACUAACACAAACUACAACAUGAACUAAUCAUUCAUUAAACAUCAAAAUCCUGAAUUCCAUAUCAGUUACAAAGGCUUCUCAUGUUGCCCUUCACAGAUUAAAGAGAUCCACGGAAUACCUGGUGAAUUUAGAACAAAGAAAUGGUGAGGAAUCAACAACAGAAGAGGAAGAAGUUCAGUAGAUCAACUACAGCAGUUUCAGUUUGUUCAAACCAUUUUAAUCCCAGAAAAGAGUCGAAAUUACUUCAAUCUUUCAAAGAAAAUCCACAGAAAGCACAUUCAGCUUCAAUGAAACAGUGAUUUGGUGCUUUUUUGUAUUUUUCUUCUCUAAUUUUCAGACUUUAUCAAUGUUUUUUUUUUGCUUUAGCCAUUUCUGAUCUCUCCCAAAAAAAAAUCCCCAAAGAAUUCAG